Molecule: long non-coding RNA, 4739 nt
Organism: Amphiprion ocellaris (clown anemonefish)
Lineage: Eukaryota; Metazoa; Chordata; Actinopteri; Pomacentridae
Exons: 3
Source: RefSeq, a predicted model, not a curated record
AUAGAUUUGCCAUUCAUUCCUGAAUUUGCAGAACCAAGGAACACUUAUUUAUUAAAUGAUAAAUAUCUUUAAAAGCUAUCUCAGAGUGUAAAAAGAAAAACACUGUAUUUGUGGCUCUGCCGAGCCCCCACAUUGUCUUCUGUUGUGUAACAUGAAUUAUUUCUUCAGUGAGUGAUGGUGCUGCUUCUCUGUGUGUCUUGGUCUCCUAAGGACACAAAGAGACACAGGAAUGUGUUUAUGUAAUGUACUUACAUCCACUGUUCCCCAAUUGCGCACUGCUGACACGGUCUCCGCGCACAGAAAAUCUGCGCUGCACACACAAAAAAAAUCCAACCUAAAUUGUAAAUAAAAUAAAUGGUAACAAUUCAUUCUGUGCUAUUUUUCAAUGUGAGUCAGUGAGUGACCAGUGACUGGCUGCUGCAGCCAAUGAUGCGAUUCACAUACGUAUUUACCAUAGACUGUAUAUAAUGGUAUUUACUCAGCUAAUCAACGUCAGGCGUCCUUAUGUGCAGCCACCGUUGUUCUCAUAGAUAUGAAUGAGUAGAUAGGACACGCCCCUUUGAGCUGCGUGCUACAGCGAGGCUAAGCUAGUGGGAGCAAAGUUUCAGUGCAUUCCGUUGAUGUUGGCGUGAAAACGGAAACAAGUAUGCCGGCUCACUGUGCUGCAUACAAUUACACACUGCGUUGUACGAUUGAGACAAGGAAACUUGGAAUGACUUUUCAUAGGUUUCCCAGAGACUAUGGGUUGAGGAGGAAUUGGAAGUUUGUCUGCUUAGACCUGGUGUCAUUCCAUCAGUGUUAAACUUCCCGGCUCAUCUUGGAAGAGUACGUGCCAGAAAGACCACGACCAAGCAGCCUUGAGAUCUUAGGCAGUGUCUCCCUGAGGUCCCUCUCUAUCUCCCUACACAUCCACCAACCACUGGAACACAUCUCCAAAGUUCUGCCGGUCCAGCUCAGCUUCCCCUCAGAAGAAGUGCCGCCACCUGCCAGAUGAAGGAGCCUUUUGAGAGGCAGCUGGCAUCAUGAUUGGACUGUACUUUGGUCUGUUCCAAUCCAGCUUCAGUUCCAGAGACGGCAGGCGGGACGAGUCAACGGAGGCCGGGUGGAUGAAGACAUGCAGCUGAGUACAAUCCAGAUAACAACAGAGGAGGAGUGCAGCAGCCCAGGGCCAGAACAAACAGAGUAGCAUCGUAUGUCUCUUAGAAAACAUCAUAGUAUAGCCUUUGGUAUGAAGAAACACCAUCAUAUAUAUCGUAUAUUGUACAAAUAACAAGUCAAAGGAAAGAGACAUACAUUGUAGAAUUGUAGUAAUUGUGGGCUGACUGAUUUACUGAUUAUCAGUAUUUUAUUUUUUACUGAUUUACGGUAAUAAAUACAUUUAAAAAUGGUGCUACUUUGGCUCUGAACCUUUAUCUACCUGUGGUCGCUCUGUCUUCUGGAGUGAUUUGAUUGGUUAUACGUCACGAAUAAAACUCCUUUAACUUAACAUCUCUAAACAAAACAAAAACGUAUCAACAAAGUUUUCUGUUAGAGUUUGUGUUCUUCUAAGUUUAACUCAAGAUUUUAAAUACUUUCAUUUACUGCAAAUGAAUAUCUACUCCAAAUGUCUCACUAAUAAUCAUUAUCAGCCUUAAAAACCCACAAAACACCCCUCUAUACUCGACGACACUUAUUACAGUCCGGUUCCCCCUUCUAUAAAUCUGCUUGGAAUCUUCCACUUCCUGUUUGUCAAAGUGGCCUUCUACCUGGACAGGUUUUGUUGGAGCUCAUGCGACAAACAUUUUGGGUAACUGCACUUUAAUAUGGAUGGAUGACACUGAAUUAGAGUCUGUUUUAAUGAGACUGAGUUAAGAUGUAUAGCUCUGUCAUUAAAUAGUAAAUUAUUUCUCAGAAUUCACAGAGAAAAGUCUGAAAUGUUUGCUAGGUUAGCAUCCCACAUGUUCUUUGGCUCAGCUAAAGCUAACUCUCUCCAACUUCUGGAUCUCUUGAGUUGCUUGUUGUUAAAAUAUCUUGCUGUAGGUGCUGAAGCUCAGAAAGUCUGAGAUGUUUGUUCAAAAUCAGCUCAUUCUCAAGUCUUAUCUGAACUGUCCUCUUUUGUUUGAACUUUCCCUAAACUUAGGAGUUAAUGACAGAGCAGCACAUCCAGACUCAGUCUCAUUUAUGUAGAGAUUAAACUUCAAUGUCAUUCAUUGAUGUUAAAGUGCAGUUUUUCAAAUGUGUGUUGCACAUGCUCCUGACCAAACCAGUCCAGGUGGAAGACGAUGUGAAGAGAAAGCUCCAGAGGAUGAAUAUCACACAUUUACAUUGGAAAUUAAUGUCCUUUAAUUAGGCAUUGUCAUGCAAAAGUUGGAUUUCCCUUUGUUGAUGUUGGUUUCUAAAUGUUUUUUGACACUCGGCCCCAAAGAUUAAAACCUUCUACGGCUCACAAGCUGCAACAAUUCACACAUUAUCAACUAUCUGUCUGACUAAACUAAGAUAAAAAGUGAAAAACUGCCUGAUUCCUGCAUCAUGAAUGUAAAUCUUUUUGGUUUUUAUGACAGUAAACUGAAUAUAUUUGGGCUUGACAUUUUAUAAACCAAAACAAGAAAUGAAUUACUGGAGAAAAGGACAGAUUAAUGGACAAAGAAAAUGUGUUUUCUGACAUAUAUGAAUUACUCCAACAUUACAAGAUACAUACAAUUUUAAUUCAAUUUUAUUUAUAUAAUGCCAAUUACAGGUCAAAUUGUCUGAAGACGCUUUAUUUUUAUAUUUUUUUGUCAUAUUUAAAAUAGGACAAAGUAAGAAAUUUAAACCUCUUGACUAAUCCAAUUUAUUAUUUAGUUUUUAAGAGACUAAUUGACAAUUCAAACUUUCUCCACUAAAACUAAUAAACAUGAGGUCAAAUAGAAGGAACAGUUUUAAAUACUGCAGUCCCACGACGACAAGAAUAAAGUUUCUCAACAAAAAACUAAAUCUGCUGGUGGAUUCCAUGAAAGUCCUAAUAAAGGAUAAUAAAGUGUGAUACUAAAGCUUUGUGGUGCUAAAAAUCUCAAAGUAAAGAUAUCAAGUUGAACAUGUGGAUGGAGGUUGAUAAAAGUUGACCUUCUUUCAUUUCUCUGGAGCCGACUCCAUGGAUUUUAUGGAUGGUGGUUAAAGACCUGCUCUUCUAGUUGUCUUCCUUCCAGUGGCUGUAAAAAGUCAUUCCAUCCUGGUCGACUUCAACACCUCUUCAUGACAACUUGUUCUGCCUCCGACCUCGUGGAAACUCAAGAAACUCGGGAAAACCUGUCGAGACUCGAAGAACUCGUGGAGACUCGAAGAACUCGUCGGGCGGGGGAAGGUGUGGUGGGUGGUGGGGGAGUAGAGGGGGGAGGCCGCCACCCACCUCCCCGCCUACUCUCCGCCCUGACUCCACCCAGACUCCGCCUUGGCUCCGCCCAUGUGGUGACUUCAGCAACUACGAUGUCAAAGGGACGACGAAUUUAUUUCUUUUCAUCUGAUCUGUAGCUCAGUGAGUUAAGGAUUUGCCUAUGGAGCUGCAGGUCGCUGGUUCAAGACCAGACACUUCUUAAAUUUUCAUCAAAUUCCUGACAAAGACAAAGAAAGAAAACUGCCAGUGGCGGGUCUUGAACCUGCGACCUUCCACUUGGUAGUCCGUCUUCUUAUCCCCUGAGCUAUUCGCUCAGAUACUAAUUCUUCUUUUUUUUGCGCAUUUAUCAUCUAUUUUUUGUCGUUUUCGAGUUUUUUUUAACUCGAGUCUCGACUCGACCGUUUUUCUCAGGAGGUUGGACUUCAGCCUUUGUGUUGGAGGGUUGAACCCUCAGUUCCAAGACUUUCCAAAGCCUCCAGACCUCCCGAGUCCUCAGGACCUGAGCUUUCACACAGUCUGAGGGCUGAAAUUUUCUAAGUCCCACAGUAGUUCUCUGUUAGAUUUAACUUUCAGACAGUCCAAGGACUGAUAUCUUCUAAGUUCCUGAGUAGUUCUCUGUUAGUUUGAACCUUUCCACAGUCUGAGGACUGAAAUCCUAAAAGUUCUUGAGUACUUCUCUGCUAGUUUGAACCUUCAGACAGUCUGAGGGCUGAAAUUUUAAAAGUUUCUCAGUACUUCUCUGUUAGUUUGAAGUUUCUGGUUAACAGAAGCCUUAAAACUUGUGACCAUGAGUCUUGAUUUCACAUUUAGACCAUCCAUCUGAGUUCUUCUCAGACCUUCACCUGUGGGUUUUUUAGAAAUCCUCAACAAACUUUGAUUCUCUUCACUGAACAGUAAAGUUUGUGGAGAUCAGAAGGUAACAUUAGUUUGAUCGAUGCCUUCAACUACUAGUAGACUUUAUCUGGAAAUCAGUUUUCUUGAAUGAGUUCUUAGUAAAUCUGUCCACAAUCAAACCAAGAACAUAGAAAGAGGAAAUGUUUGAAGAAACAACAUGAUGUUUUCAUUUCAGACUAGAAAACACUGAAAGACAUUUAUCUGUUUUUGCUCUUUUUGAUCGUUUUAUUGUCUCUUCUGUUUAAUUUGAUCUUCUAAAGUCUAACUGGUGUCUUUUCAAAUGUUUUGUCUUUAGUUUGAUUCUUCUUAAAUGUUUAGUUUUGCUCUUUUCUCACCUUUUAUUCUUUUCUAAUGUCUGAUUUGAUUUCCAAAUGUUUUGUUUUUUUAAUGUUUAAUUGUUGAUUUUUUCAAAUGUUUUAUCGGCUUGUUUGAAAAAUUUCCUUUUCUUCCCCCGUGUUUAAUUUUUCAAUUAAAUCUUUAAGGUUUUUCUUUUUAA